GAAUUUUAUAUAAAUUUAAUAAUAAAUUUUAAUUUAGGAUUUAUUAAAUUUAUAUUUCAUUGGGAGGAUGAUUAAAUUUAUAAAACUUUAAUAGAUAAAAAUCAUUAAUUUAUGAAUUAGAGGUAUGAAUGAUUAAUAAAUUUAAAUAAAAUUAAUUACCUUAGGGAUAACAGCGUUAUAUUUUUAGAUAGAUCUUAUUGAUAAAGAUGUUUGC
This 214-nucleotide ribosomal RNA is filed under the name Pheidole demeter. RNAcentral's name for it is "partial large subunit ribosomal RNA". The record is from RNAcentral. Lineage: Eukaryota; Metazoa; Arthropoda; Insecta; Hymenoptera; Formicidae.